UUUCCGUAGGUGAACCUGCGGAAGGAUCAUUAUCGUACAACAUGUGAGGGACAUGCGAGGCAUGUCGCUGACCCAAACGUCGUGCACUUCCGAUUGUGUCCUCCUGAAUAAUAAUCCACCUCACCCUUUGUGCAUCACCGCGCGGGCACCCUUCGGGAUCAUCUCGGAGGAGGGCUCGCGUUUUCACACAAACCCCCCUUUUCAAAGUGUAUAAUGACCACAUUUAUGAAAUCAAUACAACUUUCAACAACGGAUCUCUUGGCUCUC
This 267-nucleotide unclassified non-coding RNA is filed under the name plant metagenome. Its description in RNAcentral is "partial contains small subunit ribosomal RNA, internal transcribed spacer 1, and 5.8S ribosomal RNA". The record is from RNAcentral.